This 77-nucleotide transfer RNA is filed under the name Ailuropoda melanoleuca (giant panda). It matches the Rfam family "tRNA". From Rfam's summary of the family: Transfer RNA (tRNA) molecules are approximately 80 nucleotides in length. Lineage: Eukaryota; Metazoa; Chordata; Mammalia; Carnivora; Ursidae. The record is from Rfam by way of RNAcentral.
ACCUGGCUGGCUCAGUCAGCAGAGCAUGUGACUCUUGAUCUCGGUUAGGGUUGUGAGUUCGAGCCCCACACCGGGUG